AAUAAUCGUCAUUUUGAGUUUUUGUUUGUAAAGUUUGACCAUUCAUCUUAUUUAAAAAAAUUACGGAAUUAUUUUUUUUGUUUGUGACUUGCUUUAUUAUCAAAAGUACUUUAAGUAUGACUUAUCUUUUUUAUAUUUACACUAAUUUUUUAAAUAAGACGAAUGAUCAAACGUUGCAAACAAAAAGUUAAAUCAACAUCUAAU
Molecule: microRNA precursor, 204 nt
Organism: Oryza sativa Indica Group (long-grained rice)
Lineage: Eukaryota; Viridiplantae; Streptophyta; Magnoliopsida; Poales; Poaceae
Rfam family: MIR812 microRNA precursor family
Source: Rfam